AAAUUGAAGAGUUUGAUCAUGGCUCAGAUUGAACGCUGGCGGCAGGCCUAACACAUGCAAGUCGAGCGGAAACGAGAUAUCAAAGC
RNAcentral lists this ribosomal RNA (86 nucleotides) under Vibrio alginolyticus. Its description in RNAcentral is "partial 16S ribosomal RNA". It matches the Rfam family "Bacterial small subunit ribosomal RNA", at positions 1 to 85 of the family's 1533-position model. The record is from RNAcentral. Lineage: Bacteria; Pseudomonadati; Pseudomonadota; Gammaproteobacteria; Vibrionales; Vibrionaceae.